AUUGAACGGCUGGCGGCAGGCCUAACACAUGCAAGUCGAGCGCGAAAACACUUCGGUGUGAGUAGAGCGGCGGACGGGUGAGUAAUGCUUGGGAAUCUGCCCAGUAGUGGGGGAUAACGUGUGGAAACGCACGCUAAUACCGCAUACGUCCUACGGGAGAAAGCAGGGGAUCUUCGGACCUUGCGCUAUUGGAUGAGCCCAAGUCGGAUUAGCUAGUUGGUGGGGUAAUGGCCUACCAAGGCGACGAUCCGUAGCUGGUCUGAGAGGAUGAUCAGCCACACUGGGACUGAGACACGGCCCAGACUCCUACGGGAGGCAGCAGUGGGGAAUAUUGCACAAUGGGCGAAAGCCUGAUGCAGCCAUGCCGCGUGUGUGAAGAAGGCUCUAGGGUUGUAAAGCACUUUCAGUAGGGAGGAAAAGCUUAAGGUUAAUAACCUUGAGCCCUGACGUUACCUACAGAAGAAGCACCGGCAAACUCCGUGCCAGCAGCCGCGGUAAUACGGAGGGUGCGAGCGUUAAUCGGAAUUACUGGGCGUAAAGCGCGCGUAGGUGGUUUGAUAAGCUAGCUGUGAAAGCCCCGGGCUCAACCUGGGAACUGCAGUUAGAACUGUCUGACUAGAGUACAGUAGAGGGUGGCGGAAUUUCCUGUGUAGCGGUGAAAUGCGUAGAUAUAGGAAGGAACAUCAGUGGCGAAGGCGGCCACCUGGACUGAUACUGA
Molecule: ribosomal RNA, 718 nt
Filed under: gamma proteobacterium IMCC15104
Lineage: Bacteria; Pseudomonadati; Pseudomonadota; Gammaproteobacteria
Description: bacterial SSU rRNA
Rfam family: Bacterial small subunit ribosomal RNA
Source: RNAcentral